UACGAGGGGGGCGAGCGUUGUUCGGAAUUAUUGGGCGUAAAGGGUGCGUAGGCGGCCUGACAAGUCUGAUGUGAAAUCCCUGGGCUCAACCCAGGGCCUGCAUCGGAAACUGUCGGGCUUGAGUAUGGGAGAGGUGAGUGGAAUUUCCGGUGUAGCGGUGAAAUGCGUAGAUAUCGGGAGGAACACCUGUGGCGAAAGCGGCUCACUGGACCACAACUGACGCUGAGGCGCGAAAGCUAGGGGAGCAAACAGG
This 253-nucleotide ribosomal RNA is filed under the name uncultured bacterium. RNAcentral's name for it is "partial 16S ribosomal RNA". It matches the Rfam family "Bacterial small subunit ribosomal RNA", at positions 524 to 776 of the family's 1533-position model. The record is from RNAcentral.